Molecule: ribosomal RNA, 301 nt
Filed under: uncultured bacterium
Lineage: Bacteria
Description: partial 16S ribosomal RNA
Rfam family: Bacterial small subunit ribosomal RNA
Source: RNAcentral
CAGCCGCCGCGGUAAUACAGAGGGUGCAAGCGUUAAUCGGAAUUACUGGGCGUAAAGCGCGCGUAGGUGGUUUGUUAAGUUGGAUGUGAAAUCCCAGGGCUCAACCUGGGAACUGCAUCCAAAACUGGCAAGCUAGAGUAUGGUAGAGGGUGGUGGAAUUUCCUGUGUAGCGGUGAAAUGCGUAGAUAUAGGAAGGAACACCAGUGGCGAAGGCGACCACCUGGACUGAUACUGACACUGAGGUGCGAAAGCGUGGGGAGCAAACAGGAUUAGAUACCCCCGUAGUCCCUGUCUCUUAUAA